GGAUGAACGCUGGCGGCGUGCCUAAUACAUGCAAGUCGAGCGAACAGACGAGGAGCUUGCUCCUCUGACGUUAGCGGCGGACGGGUGAGUAACACGUGGAUAACCUACCUAUAAGACUGGGAUAACUUCGGGAAACCGGAGCUAAUACCGGAUAAUAUAUUGAACCGCAUGGUUCAAUAGUGAAAGACGGUUUUGCUGUCACUUAUAGAUGGAUCCGCGCCGCAUUAGCUAGUUGGUAAGGUAACGGCUUACCAAGGCAACGAUGCGUAGCCGACCUGAGAGGGUGAUCCGCCACACUGGAACUGAGACACGGUCCAGACUCCUACGGGAGGCAGCAGUAGGGAAUCUUCCGCAAUGGGCGAAAGCCUGACGGAGCAACGCCGCGUGAGUGAUGAAGGUCUUCGGAUCGUAAAACUCUGUUAUUAGGGAAGAACAAAUGUGUAAGUAACUAUGCACGUCUUGACGGUACCUAAUCAGAAAGCCACGGCUAACUACGUG
Molecule: ribosomal RNA, 498 nt
Filed under: uncultured bacterium
Lineage: Bacteria
Description: partial 16S ribosomal RNA
Rfam family: Bacterial small subunit ribosomal RNA
Source: RNAcentral